AGGAGUUAGUCUAACAUAAGACCACUAAUUUCGACUUAGUAAAUUCUGACUUCAGAACUCCUGAU
This 65-nucleotide transfer RNA is filed under the name Psammodromus algirus. RNAcentral describes it as "tRNA-Arg". Lineage: Eukaryota; Metazoa; Chordata; Lepidosauria; Squamata; Lacertidae. The record is from RNAcentral.